CCAGGCAGUAGCCUCUUCACGGGAUAUUGUAGGCCUGCGCAUGUGCAGAUACCCAGAGGAGUCAGGCCAACGGCUCCAGCGGCCCAGCAGCCCCAUGUCCACCGACAGCAACAUGAGUCCUGCAAUAACACAUAAAAGGCCCAGAAGGCAUAAACAGAACCAGCCUGGUCAACAAGGCUACCAGCCCAAAGAUGUCUUCAAUGAUGACUCCUGCAUGCCUCUGAAUUUUUCCAGCCAGAUGUCCCACAGCAACUACAAGGUGAGGGGGGCCACGCUGCCUCGGAUGGGCUCUGGGGAUGCCCGGGGUCGACGCGGCAGCACUGGCACUCACAGGGCCAGGGAGGCUACAUUUGAACAGGGGGAGAGCCACGACAAGCACACGACUCCACCAGCAGGAAAAGGAAGCAGCAAAAGCCGACAGCACUCAGGCACGGGAUGGAGUAUACUGCACACGUUUUAAUAAAUCAUUUAAUGACUAGCCAACUAACAUUUUCUUUCUUGUUUCUCCAACAGAAUUUGGGGAUGUCCUUCUGUACAGUCGUCCCUCUUUCCCAUCAGGUCAAGCUCAGAGGGAGCCUGAUGACACUAAUUCAUCCAGCUUUAUGUCAUGUGGAG
Molecule: long non-coding RNA, 615 nt
Filed under: Cyclopterus lumpus (lumpfish)
Lineage: Eukaryota; Metazoa; Chordata; Actinopteri; Perciformes; Cyclopteridae
Description: lncRNA (ENSCLMG00005020543.1)
Source: RNAcentral